Molecule: long non-coding RNA, 653 nt
Organism: Etheostoma cragini (Arkansas darter)
Lineage: Eukaryota; Metazoa; Chordata; Actinopteri; Perciformes; Percidae
Exons: 3
Source: RefSeq, a predicted model, not a curated record
GAGGAGAGAAAAAAAAAUUAAAAAGGCAAAAUACUGAACUGUAUAGGUAUUUUCAAAACCCCAAGAUUGCCUUGAUCAUUAAUUUAUCGCUUUGAGAUUACAGAUAGCAAAGUUGUCCAAAUGGAGAAGAAACUGUUGCAUACACAAAUUCAAGUAGGUCUUAUUAUAAGACAUAAACCCCUGAACAAUGCAUCUGUAGAAAGGUGUUUUAAACUAUUACAGUGUCCCAUUAUCAGCAUAAUGACACCAACAGAGCCAUUUCCAAAGUACUGUUGCAGAAGUGCUGGCAACCGGGCAUGGACAAUCACAAUCCCUCACGUCUAAGGUGAUAGAUGUUCAAUGUCAUGACUUUGACCCUUUUUGGUGAAAUGGCUACAGUGUUGUGAGAUGUCAUCACCAGUCCAUUACCUGUUUAAGAAUGAGCUUCAACUUAAAUCUUAAAAAAUAAAAACUUACACAAAAAAAUUAAAACUUAAUGCUCGCUUUCACUGGGCAUGAACGCUCCAGAUCACCUAAACAAACUUUCCAUCUCACCUCAUACGCUGAACUUUUAAAAACAAAAACAAGGAAAACAUCCGGUGUUUCACCUGAACUGAACAGCACCUGCAUGGAAAUUACCAUAUAGAAAAUAAAAGCUUAUAAACAGCCAUACA